This 637-nucleotide ribosomal RNA is filed under the name uncultured Lactarius. RNAcentral's name for it is "eukaryotic LSU rRNA". The stretch from base 175 to 328 matches the Rfam family "5.8S ribosomal RNA". The record is from RNAcentral. Lineage: Eukaryota; Fungi; Basidiomycota; Agaricomycetes; Russulales; Russulaceae.
UCGUGCGCGNGAGAGUGUGUCCUCUCACAUAAAAUCCAUCUCACCCUUUUGUGCACCACCGCGUGGGCGCCCUUCGGGAUCAAACCGAUCCAGGAGGGGGCUUGCGUUCUCACACAAACCCCUUUUUAAAAAGUGUAGAAUGACCCCAUUUUUGCGAUAACACGCAAUCAAUACAACUUUCAACAACGGAUCUCUUGGCUCUCGCAUCGAUGAAGAACGCAGCGAAAUGCGAUACGUAAUGUGAAUUGCAGAAUUCAGUGAAUCAUCGAAUCUUUGAACGCACCUUGCGCCCCUUGGUAUUCCGAGGGGCACACCCGUUUGAGUGUCGUGAAAAUCUCAACCUCCUCGGUUUCUUCUGGACACCGAAGGAGGCUUGGACUUUGGAGGCCUUUGCUGGCGUCUCUCGCCAGCUCCUCUCAAAUGAAUUAGCGGGGUCCUCUUUGCCGAUCCUCGACGUGUGAUAAGAUGUUUCCAUGUCUUGGUUUCUGGCUCUGUUGCUUUUGGGACCCGCUUCUAACCGUCUCAACCCGAGACAAUGUUUGAGCGUGUCUCCCUUCUCGGGAAACGCCCUCAAGCCCACGAACCCUUGACCUCAAAUCGGGUGAGACUACCCGCUGAACUUAAGCAUAUCAAUAAG